GUAGGGCGCGAGCGUUAAUCGGAAUUACUGGGCGUAAAGCGUGCGCAGGCGGUUCGUUGUGUCGGCGGUGAAAGCCCCGGGCUUAACCUGGGAAUGGCCGUUGAAACUGGCGAACUGGAGUAUGGAAGAGGUGAGUGGAAUUCCGAGUGUAGAGGUGAAAUUCGUAGAUAUUCGGAGGAACACCAGUGGCGAAGGCGGCUCACUGGUCCAUUACUGACGCUGAGGUGCGAAAGCGUGGGGAGCAAACAGGAUUAGAUACCCCGGUAGUCCUACCCGUAAACGGUGCAUAUUUGCUGUAAAAGGAAUCGACCCCUUUUGUGGCGUAGCAAACGCGUUAAAUAUGCCGCCUGGGAAGUACGGUCGCAAGACUA
Molecule: ribosomal RNA, 371 nt
Filed under: uncultured bacterium
Lineage: Bacteria
Description: bacterial SSU rRNA
Rfam family: Bacterial small subunit ribosomal RNA
Source: RNAcentral